RNAcentral lists this ribosomal RNA (468 nucleotides) under uncultured bacterium. RNAcentral describes it as "partial 16S ribosomal RNA". It matches the Rfam family "Bacterial small subunit ribosomal RNA", at positions 28 to 507 of the family's 1533-position model. The record is from RNAcentral.
GACGAACGCUGGCGGCGUGCUUAACACAUGCAAGUCGAACGGAAAGGCCCUGCUUUUGUGGGGUGCUCGAGUGGCGAACGGGUGAGUAACACGUGAGUAACCUGCCCUUGACUUUGGGAUAACUUCAGGAAACUGGGGCUAAUACCGGAUAGGAGCUCAUGCUGCAUGGUGGGGGUUGGAAAGUUUCGGCGGUUGGGGAUGGACUCGCGGCUUAUCAGCUUGUUGGUGGGGUAGUGGCUUACCAAGGCUUUGACGGGUAGCCGGCCUGAGAGGGUGACCGGCCACAUUGGGACUGAGAUACGGCCCAGACUCCUACGGGGGGCAGCAGUGGGAAAUAUUGCACAAUGGGCGGAAGCCUGAUGCAGCAACGCCGCGUGCGGGAUGACGGCCUUCGGGUUGUAAACCGUUUUCGCCUGUGACGAAGCGUGAGUGACGGUAAUGGGUAAAGAAGCACCGGCUAACUACGUG